Small nucleolar RNA from Macaca fascicularis (crab-eating macaque), 104 nucleotides. Lineage: Eukaryota; Metazoa; Chordata; Mammalia; Primates; Cercopithecidae. The record is from Ensembl.
AUCCUUUUGUAGUUCAUAAGUGUGAUGAUUGGCUUUGCACACUCUUAUGUAAGAUGUGCCUCCCUCAAACCUUGUUAGGGCAUUGUCACAUUACCCAUUUGAGG